AACCAGUGUAAACUACGCAGAGUCAUCCUGCUCUUCUUCAUUUCUUCUAAUGAUUCAAAGAUUUGUCCGUACUGAUCGCCGGAUUCUCACAUUCCCGGCUGUUCAUCCUUGCGAGGGCAUUUCUCCGGGGACCCUUUUGUCAUCUUUAAUCGAACUCUCCCAAAAGAUAUGCAAUUAUCAGUCCAAUUUCUUUGCCACCCAGCGGAGGAAUGCCCGCGAAGCCAUUCGUCAAAUUGGAAUUCUUCUCAUAUUCUUCGAGGAAAUCAGGGAUCGCCGAUUGGUUCUCUCGGACUCGGCAGUUCUUUGCUUCUCUGAGCUCCACCUCACCUUUCAAAAAAUCCAGUUCUUGUUCGAAGACUGUACACGUGAAGGUGCCAGGCUAUGUAUUCUAAUGAAGUCAAAGUUUAUCGCCACUCAGUUUCGUGUGUUAAUUCGAGCAAUUGCCACUGCUCUUGAUGUUCUGCCAUUGAAUCGGAUAGAUGUGGGCGGUGAAGUGAAGGAAUUAGUUGAGUUAGUAUCAAGGCAAGCACGCAAGGCGAAAUUCGAGCUGGACCCUGAAGACGAAUGCGCCUCAAAACAAGUUCUUUUCAUAUUGAACUACUUAGAGAAGGGAAUUGAGCCUCAAUUGAGCUUUUUGAAGCGGGUUCUUGACUAUCUCGAGAUUAGAAACUGGAGUGAUUGUGCCAAGGAAGUCAAGUUCUUGGAAGAAGAGAUUGGCUUUCAAUGCUCAGACUGUGAUGAGAGAGAGGUUCCAUUCCUGAGCAGCUUGUUGGGUUUGAUGAGCUACUCCAGAGCAGUAAUUUUCGAAACAUUGGAUUAUCGAAACAAUGACCAAAUUGAUGUGAGAUGCAACAUGGAGACGCUCAGUUGCUUAAAUCCUGAAGAUUUUCGAUGCCCAAUUUCGCUUGAGCUAAUGCUUGAUCCAGUAACUGUAUCAACCGGGCAGACUUACGAUCGAUCUUCGAUUGAAAAAUGGUUCAAAGCUGGAAAUAUGAUUUGUCCCAAAACAGGGGAGAGGCUGAAAAACACAGAGCUAGUCCCCAACACCACUUUUAGAAAGUUCAUCCAACAGUUCUGCAGCGACAAUGGCAUUUUUCUGUCUAAAUCAGGAAGCAGAAGUCGUGAUAUAACGAGAACUAUUGUUCCUGGCAGCCCUGCAGCAGCAGAAGCUAUGAAAUUCCUUUCAAGGUUUCUUGCAAGGAGGCUGGUUUUUGGGUCAGGUGAACAGAAAAACAAGGCUGCUUAUGAGAUUCGGUUGCUUGCAAAAUGGAACAUAUUUAAUCGAUCUUGUUUGAUUGAAGCAGGCACAAUCCUACCUCUCAUAAACCUUUUGUCUUCUUCAGAUAGUUCUGCGCAAGAGAAUGCUGUUGGAGCUCUAUUAAAGCUCUCAAAGCAUACCAGUGGCAAGAAGGUCGUAAUUGAUAGUGGUGGAUUGAAACCAAUUGUUGCAGUCCUUAAGAGAGGAUUGAGUUUUGAAGCGAAGCAAAUAGCAGCGGCAACAAUUUUUUACCUUGCUUCGGAGAAGGGAUACAGAAAAUUAAUAGGAGAAUUAACUGAAGCAAUUCCAGCACUUGUGGAGCUGAUCAAGGGAAGGCCAACUAGUGGCAAAAAGAAUGCAGUGGCUGCCAUUUUUGCAUUGCUUCAAUACCCAGGGAACCACCAGAAAGUAGUUGCAUCUGGUACUGUUCCGUUGCUAAUUGAAAUUCUAUGCUUGUCGGAUAAGGAUGGACUUGUAGCAGAUUCACUGGCAGUUGUUGCAGCACUGGCUGAGAAUGUUGAUGGGGCAGUAGCAAUCCUGCGAACUUCAGCUUUAUCAAUAAUAACUAGGAAUUUGCAAUCCUUAACAUCUAGAGCUGGGAAGGAGUAUUGUGUUUCGAUCUUGUUAUGUUUGUGUAAACAUGGAGGAGUAGAAGUGGUGGAGGGUUUAGCAAAGGAUCCUGCUCUUAUGAGUGCACUGUAUUCAAUUGUAACAGAUGGCACGUCUCAGGCCAGCAGUAAAGCUAGGUCCCUGAUAAAAAUUCUACUUAAAUUCCGAGAAACAAGCUCUUCAGGAUCGAUAGGUUCAGCUCCAUGUGAACGACCAGUUCAUGUGAGGUAAUUAUUUGUUGUAGAUUUGAUUCGAUUUCUUUCUGUAAAUACAUUCCAGGGUUAGCUCGGUAUUUUGAGAGUUAAUUGCCAUGUCAUACAAUUACAGAUAUUGAUUGAUCAGUCAGGUACGG
This 2219-nucleotide unclassified non-coding RNA is filed under the name Hevea brasiliensis (rubber tree). Lineage: Eukaryota; Viridiplantae; Streptophyta; Magnoliopsida; Malpighiales; Euphorbiaceae. The record is from RNAcentral.